UGCUCCAUUCGCAUUAAGUGAAAGAUGGGAAAUUUAAGGUAAUCAAUAACUGCAACAACGUUCAUAAGACCUUUCUUUAUUUGAAAUACAAAGACCAUUCGCACCCUUUCACCCACUUCGUUACAGUGUUCUCUAUUUAAAAAAAUUUAAAUCAUGAAAAUGCUCAAAAUAGUAAAAUACCACAGUCCGAGUCCACAGCAUCUCGAAUCACAAAUGUCACACUAAAUUGCAGAAUUUGGUAUGUUGUAAAUAUCUUUUCACACUUUUCCAUGACUUUUCUCAGUAUCGUUGGUAUCGUCUGCCAAGAUAAGAGGGCUGAAACCGAAAGAAUGGUGAAAUAGUUAAGGGCAUUUGUUUAUCAGUUUAUUUGGAUUUGAAAAUAGAAGAAAAUGUUAUCUACAGCAAGACGUGAGAGGAUGAGCGGCGAUUGUAAAGCGGGUACACCUUUCGGGAACACACGAGUUCGAAACGUUCUCAAGGAUUUCUGUUUUGAUGGGAAUAUUAGCGAUGGGAAUGAAGUGACUAAGGUUCUCUUAUUGGGUUGUGGUGAUCUAAGAAAUACCUUUCAAGCAACAACUUCCAAGAAUCCUCAACAUUUAGAGAUUCAUCUCAAUGAUUUAAGUCCUUCUGUCUUGGCUCGAAAUGUCAUAAUUUUGAAAAUUGUGUCAGCACAUGAUUUCAAUCUUGAAAAUGAUGAAGAUUUUGGAUUUCUGUGGGAUGUGUGGUACAAUGUUGAUUGGCCAGAAGAAACCAGGAAGAGGUUUCUUUCUAUUGUUAAGGAAUUGACGAAUGAGAAAUUACCAGAUAAUGUCACAAUUCCAAACAGUUGUCACCUAGAAAAAUUGAAGAGUUUGUGGAGUAACUGGCAUUCUGUUUCCUCUAAAAACAAAACCGAUUCUGAAUCACUCUUGAGAAAAGUCUGGGGACAAAGGAAUCAAUGCUUGUUGGACCUGUGGGCUGUCUUGUAUUCUCCAGAACAUUUACAAGAGAAAGCACAUCUGAAAAAUGCUGAUCUCUUCACUGCCUCAUUAAAUGAUCUGGCUAAGCAGUUUAUAAAUCGUGAAGAGUUCAUAGGAUUGGCACCUUGUGUUCGUAAAAAGAUUUACGAUGAAAUUCUGAAAUGUUACAGAAAUAGCAGCAGUCGCCGUCAAAAUAACGACCAACCAGUGUGCGUCAACCCAACUUUGCUGAACCCCUCCACCCAUGAUUGGAAAAUUUACUGCUUAAAUCUGUUUGAAGGUUAUCUGCCAAUGGAAAAAGGAGAGCUGAUAACUUCAGAUGAAGAAAUCAUGACCCACUACUGCUCCGAAAUACUCAAGAGAUUGGUGUCUUCCUAUUGCAGCCGGAUUCCAACAGUCAAAAUCGUUUUUCACUUAGAAGAAGCCUUAAAACAUUGCUACUCAGACGCAAACAAGUUUGACGUCAUCGACUGCUCUGAUUUCGUCAGUCGUGUUGGGUUAGCCAAUUUAGUUGUUGCAUGCUGCCAAAAGCUGUCGGAUAACCCAAAUGCAAUUUUUUAUACCGAAAUAGUGACUAACAGUCAACAUUCGGCUAACACCAUCGUCGAGACAUCCCUUUGUGCUUCAUUGUGUAUGAUUCCCACUAUUUACGGGUUAAGAUUGGCUGACCAUGUUGAAUUAAGGGAUUCUGCCGUCGAUAUGUUGCGGUCAAUCAGCAUUCGAAGAGGACGCCCAGCGAUUCUCUGCUGGCAGAAAGUACCAAACUUUCAGAACAUAAAAUUGGUCCCUUCUCCCGAUUUAAAUCGAUGCAUAACAAAGCUGGCCAAAUUCUGCCAUCAAACAACAUUUCCUAAACCUGCCUCCCUAUCGAACAGUGCUGGAAGUGAAAUCUACUACACUCCCCUAACAUUCAACUACAUUUUGGAUUCAAUCAUCAAACGACUGGGACAGGAUUGUUGGUCACCAGACCUACUUGACAUCGCUCCACAAUUCUUUCUGGCAAGAAAAACAUUGGGGGAUUGGAAGAAUGGGAAGAAAAUGAUGAAAUUGUCAGCUGGUGUUCAGCUCAUAAUGAAGUCUGCAGUCAGCCAAAAAUCAACUCCUCUACUUCGGCUAGUUUUUGUCCUCAAAGAUUCUUACAAGCUCAAUCCUGACUUAUCCGGACCUGAUGUUCACUUCAUCGACAAUAUUGAACUUGAAUUCAAGCGUACUUCAAAAGGAGUAGCAGUGGAGACGGUGUCGUUUUUACUGCCUAGCGAUCAUGGUUUUGAUGAAACGUAUUACGAUGCGAUUGUUGUCAAUGCUUUCAACGGAAUGCCACUACUUGUCUUAGACCCUUUUGAAUCAAUGCGGGUAGAGGAAUAUCUUGUACCUUACCCGAUUGGACAAAGCAAACCUCAACUUCCACUGGAUCCUAAAGGUAAAAUGUACAUGAAGGUCGAGAGUUGUAUCGAGUCAGAAAAACAGUACACCCUAAGGAUUGCCAUUGAAUGUUGUGGAAAUGUUUCAGGAUUGAAGAUAUCCACUAACGAACAGGCCCCCUGUGAAUCCUGCCAUGAAAUCACAGUUUCAUUGACUCAACCCAGCGAAAUCUAACCUUUGUCAUUAACAUUUCCAUUUCCGAUUCUUGCGAAAAAUGUUCAAGCGACGCUCCAUCGAAAAAGUCGACAUGUCGAUUUGUUGUUGGAGAAAUCUCUGCUGGAGCCCUGGCCGUGCGAGUUUCAUAGUAAAAAGUCUAAAUGGAUAAUAGACGAUUUAGUGCCCUGGGAAAACGUACCACUCACCUCUGAAGAUGUAUUCAGCAGUCUGGAACACCAUCUGAGCAGUCAGUUUUCAAUGACGGAUAUUAAAUUCUUUCUUCAGAGUCGUCAGUUGAUACCGAAUAAUAUGGAUUUAUGCCAAUUUAUUCUUUCAUCUGGAUCUGCUUUGCAUAGCUUGCGUCUCAAGCUUGGAUCAUUGAUGGCCCGUGUUGCUGAGUUUGUCAGUUACGGUCGAAAUGACGAUCGGUACCUGCUGAAGCUCCAUCUGCCCCUUCUUACUUCCCCGAUGGGAACCCCAAUUUUGCUGAUUACUGCUCUCGAUCAAAAUUAUAUGAAAAAUUUUUUAAAGGAAAUAUCUCCGGCAAACCCAACUGUGCCCAACGAAGUAAUGGAUCACUUAAAGAUUUGCCAGAAAUUUUUUCCACCCAUGGAGGACAGGUUGGUUGUGGAAGCCGAGUCAGAAGAAGAACUUCAAUUGUUUCGUUUUCUCCUGCGUUUGAACUCAACUAGAAUCGAGCCCAGCAAAUGGCAGAAGGAGAAUAUUCCUCUAGGAGGUCGCAGUCCUUGGCUUGCUACUUUUCUUUCGCCUCUCUACCAGGAUUCUCUUUACAAGGAUUUUAUAGCUGACGAGAAAUGCUGUGCUGUUUGUAAGAAAAUCCCUGAGAAGUUGAAGCGUUGCAGUCGUUGCCGUUCCACUGUUUACUGCAGUGUCGAGUGUCAGCAUUCUCAUUGGCCAAUGCAUAAACUCAUCUGCAAGAAAUUGUAAUUUGGCCAAAACUAAAUGCAGCUUAAUCCUUCACGGAAACUCUUGAAGUCUUGAUGCACAGUUAAAACGUUUUUGUAUUGAAUAACCAAGAUUACACUUGUUGUAAAAUCAA
RNAcentral lists this unclassified non-coding RNA (3597 nucleotides) under Daphnia pulicaria. RNAcentral's name for it is "uncharacterized LOC124312911, transcript variant X3". The record is from RNAcentral. Lineage: Eukaryota; Metazoa; Arthropoda; Branchiopoda; Diplostraca; Daphniidae.